GCCGCGGCGCAGGCGCAUUAGGGAGCCCGGGCUGACAGGCGGUUCCCUUUGAAGGAGAUGCGAUUGGUUCGCGCAGGCGCGUCGGUCCGAGCCGGGGGGAGUUCAGGCGGCAGUGUCGGCGUGAGGCCGGGACCAUGGGGAAACGGGACAACCGAGUGGCCUUUGUUAAUCCAGUAGCUCUUGCAAGAGCUCGUGGUCCUGCUCCAUCAUCAGGACCAUCGAUACAGGAUUAUUUAAGUCGACCAAGACCUACUUGGGAAGAAUUAAAAGAGCAGCUGGAAAAGAAGAAGAAAGGUUCUAAAGCCCUUGCAGAUUUUGAAGAGAAAAUGAAUGAGAAAUGGAGAAGAGAGCUUGAGAAAAACAGGGAGAAGGUACUUGGAAGUGAAAGUUCAUCUAAAAAGAAGGAGAAAAAACGAAAGGAAAAGAAGAAAAGUAGGCCGUCUUCAUCAUCUUCCUCCUCAUCAUCAAGUUCUGAUUCUUCCAGCAGUUCUUCGGACACCGAUAAUGAGGAUGAAAAGAAACAUGUUAAAAAGAAACGGAAGAGAAAGCAUACCACUGUGCGGAAACCCACAGAUGAUUUCCAAAUAAGUUGUGACGUCAAUAGUAAGGAAACCACAAAGAAAAAGAAAAAGAAAAUCAAAGAGGAAUCUGAAAAAGAACGAGAUAAAAAAAAGAAGAAACGGGAUCACACACCGCGAAGAACACCAGAGGAAUCUGGCUCUGCUGAAGAGAAUGAGACUGGGGAAAAAGUUAUCUUAAAGCUUUUGGAUGGAAUAUUGCUGCUGGGGACGCCAUUAUUCUGAAAAUGUCAUCUACUUUAUUACGCUGUAGCUGGGUUCAGCCUUUUCUCCUGAGUAAUCCAAAGCAGAGCUUGAAUUCCAGGGCUUGUCCUCAAUAAUGCCCUUGUGUCAGGUAAACCAUGUUCAUUUUCUGACAUGUACUGCACUUAGUCCAGAGGAGGUUCACGAGGAUGAUCCUGGGAAUGUAGGAGUUAACCUAUGAGGAGCAUUUGACAGCUUUGGGCCUAUACUCACCGGAACUUAGAAGAAUUCAAGGUGAUCUUAUUGAAACCUACCUAAUAUGAAAGGACUGGAUAGGGUGGAUGUGGAGAGGAUAUUUUCUAUAGUGGGAGGUAUCCAAAACCAGAGGGCACAGCUACAAAAUUGAGGGACGACCCUUUAGAACAGAGGUAAGGAAGAAUUUUUUUAGCUAGAGAGUAGUAACUCUGUGGUGGAGGCCAAGUCCGUACAUAAAUUUAAGGCGGAAGUUGAUUGCUUCCUGAUCGAUCAGGACAUCAAAGGAUAUGGUGAGAGGAUAGGUGUAUGGGGUUGAGUGGGAUUUGGGAUCAGCCAUGAUGGAAUGGCGGAGCAGGUUCAAUGGGUUGAUUGGCAUAAUUCUGCUCCUAUGUCCUAUGGUCUUAUUUCCCUGUCAUUUGAGUUUUCGCUCUGAUUAAGGAUUACCCCUCAUGAUUCUGCAUUGGGCAGAUAAACAGUUAAUAUCAGAAUCAGAUUUAUUAUCACUAACAUAUAUCAUGAAAUUUGUUGCAUCAGUGCAUUGCAAAACAUAUUAAAAAUCUAUAUGUUACAAUAAGAAAUAUAUUAAAUUAAGUAAUACAAAAAGAGAAAAGUAUUGAGGUAGUGUUCAUGGUUUCAUUGUCCAUUCAGAAAUCGGAGACGUUGGAAAGGAAGAAGCUGUUCCGUAAAUGCUUUGUUUCUCUUCAGGCAUGCUCCUGGGUGAUAGGGGUCCUUAAUGAUGGAAGCUGCCUUUUUGAGGCGUCACAUUUCGAAGGUGUCCUCGAUGCUAGGGAGGCUCAUGCCCAUGAUGGAGCUGGCUGAGUUUACAACUUCCUGCAGCUUUUCCAAUCCUGUGCAGUGACCCCUUCAUACUAGACAGUGAAUGUUACAGUAAAUUAGAAAAGAACUGCAGAUACUGGAAACCUAAAAUAAAGAGUGAUACAACCAGUUAGAAUGCUGUCCAGAUACAACUCACACACAACAUAUAAAGUAAUAUUACCACAGAUAACGAAAUGUUACAGAAGAUUGACGUUUAGCAAACAACGUCAGUUAAAGUGUAAGUAGUAUAACACUGCUGGCACUUCAUUCGUGAUGAGACUUGGGUGGUGGCAGGGAGUUCAGCAGUUUCAUGUCCUGGGGGAUGAAGCUGUGUCCAUCCUAUCAGUUAUUGUACAGUACCAAUGACUGAUGAUGGGGGAUGGUUCAAAGAGAUUUUUAUACAGAUGGAGGAUGGUUGGCAAUGCUGAAGGCCUUGUGUUAUACAGUGCUUCUGAUAAAUGAGUGAAAGAGUGGCCUUGAUGAUCCUCUCAGCAGUCAUCACAGUCCUUUGUAGGAACUUGCGGUCAGAUACUUUACAACUCCUGUACCAGACGGUAAUGUAGCUGGUCAGGAUAUUCUUUGGUGCUCCUGUAAAAAUUGAUUAGAAUAGGGGGAAGAGCUGAAUGUUUCUUUCUGUAGCUAUUGUUUUUUUAAAAAUUGAUCCAUUGGUGAAAAGUCUGUAAAUAUUGAAUUAAUCCUUUCCAACCUUUUGUCAUAAGAUUUGUGCUUCUUAGUAGUGAAUGCUUAUGUUUCCAAUGGCAGUGAGUUCCUGCAGUACCUUGUUUGACCUGUAUGUGUCAGUGUAAUCUGUUUUAGAGGUCAGUCUAGUACCAGCUCCACUAGUGUGUAAAACUGACAAAGCCACAGUUCCAGCAAGUGGCGAGAUUGGCUACCAGAGGAAAUUUUUUUCAGUGAAGCAGUUUGAACUUCAUUAGAAUCAGAAUCUGGUUUAUUAUCACUGACAUAUGCUGUGAAAUUUGUUAUUUUUUGGCAGGUGUACAGUGCAAUACUUAAAAUAUACUAUGAAUUAUAAUAAAUAUAAAGAAAUUAAAAGUGUAGUACAAAAAUAAUGAGGUGCUAUUCAUAAAUUAAUGAACAGUUCAUAAAUUUGAUGGUGGAGCGGAAGAAGCUGCUCAUAAAAUGUUGAAUGUACAUCAUCUUGCUCCUGUAUCACCACCUUGAGGGUAGCAUUGAGAAGAGGGUAUGACCUGGGUGAUGAAGUUCCUUAAUGACCGAUGACCCCUUCUUGAGGCAUUGUCAUUUGAAAAUGCCCUUGAUGUUGGGGAGGCUAGUGCCUUUGAAGCUGAAGUUUGGCAAAAACUCCUGACAUUGACUCCUGACCUCUAACUUGCUAAGGCCCAGCGCCAUCUCUCAGACGCCACCACCUUGUACCCCUUGAAUGGGACCCCAUUAAAGAACACCAGGACCAUCUCCUAUGCCAUCACCAACCUUGAAUCUGGGGAUCUCCCAUCCACCACCACCAACCUCAUAGUUCCUGCACCCCGCACCUCCUCUUUCUACCUCCUACUCAAGAUCCACAAACCCACUUGUCCAGAUAGACCCUUUAUUUCAGUUUGCUCCUGCCCCACUGAACUCAUCUGCAUAUCUCAACUCUGUUUCAUUUCACACCCCUACCCCCCAUUUCGGUCCCUUCCUACCUACAUCCAUGACACUUCACACGCUCUGGAUCUUUUCAAUAACUUCAGGUUCUCUGGCCCCCAUCAUCUUAUUUUUACUAUGAAUAUCCAAUCCCUAUGCACUUCCAUCCCCCACCAAGAAGGCCCUAAAACACUCCAUUUCUUUCCCAACCAGUUCCCCUCAACCACCAUUCCCCUCUGCCUAGCGGAACUUGUCCCUCACUCUAAGUAAUUUCUCCUUCAGCUCUUCCCACUUCCUUCAAACAAGAAGUGUAGCGUGGGCACUCACAUGGGCCCCAGCCAUGCCUACCUGUUUGUGAUUAUGUAUGUGGAGCAGUCUGUGUCCUAAGCCUACACUGGUGUCUGCCCCGCACUUUUCCCAUGCUACAUCAAUGACUGCAUUGGUGCUGCUUCCUACAUCCAUGUGGAUCUUGUCAACUUCAUCCGCUUUAUCCCCAGCUUCCACCCUGCCCUCAAAUUUAUCUGGUCCAGAACAGGUUAUUAUUUGAAUGGUAAAAGACUGCAACAUGCUGCUGUGCAGAGGGACUUGGGACUGCUUGUGCAUGAAUCACAAAAGGUUGGUUUGCAGGUGCAGCAGGCCAUCAAGAAGGCAAAUAGAGCGUUGGCCUUCAUUGCUAGAGGGAUUGAACUUAAGAGCAGGAAGGUUAUGCUGCAACUGUACAGGGUACUGGUGAGGCCACACCUGGAGUACUGCGUACAGUUCUGGUCUUCUUACUUGAGGAAGGAUAUAAUGGCUUUGGAGGCAGUGCAGAGGAGGUUCACCAGGUUGAUCCCAGAGAUGAGUGAGUUAGACGAUGAGGAGAGAUUGAGUCACCUGGGACUGUACUCGCUGGAAUUCAAAAGAAUGAGAGGAGAUCUUACAGAAACAUUAACAUUAUGAAAGGGAUUGGUAAGGUAGAGGCAGGGAAGUUGUUUCCACUGGUAGGUGAGACUAGAACUAGGGGACAUAGCCUUAAGAUUCGGGGGAGUAAAUUUAGGAUGGAGAUGAAGAGGAACUGCUUUUCCCAAGGAGUGGUGGAUCUGUGGAAUUCUCUGCUCAAUGAAGCAGUGGAGGCUAUCGCAGUAACUAUUCUUAAGACAAGGUUGGAUAGAUUUUUGCAUAAUAGGAGAAUUAAAGAUUAUGAGGAAAAGGAGGGUAGGUGGAACUGAGUCCAUGGUCAGAUGCAAAACGCACAUUGUAUCAGUACUGUUUAGAACUUGCACUUUGGGUAGUAUAUGAUAAUAGCUCUCAGAUCAUGGCAUGAAAUGUUCCUGUCUUCCCAUAAUAUGUAGUGAAAUUACAUUCAAUAAAUAAUGCAAAUUAUUUUUAUAAAUCAGAUAAUUUAUUCUCCUCCAAUGAAGAAAACAUACUAGUUUGCUUCAGUCUAUUCUUCUAUUUUCAAACUGCUGUCUGCUCUCUUCAACUUAAUUUGGUUAUUGUAGAGGGCAGAAAAGCCUAUGCAUUGACAUUUUUUAAAUAAUGCAUGUAUGUAAGUGUUUGUAAAAUAAAAUGCACUGUCUAGACCAUAAGACAUGGAAGCAGAAUUAGGCCAUUCAGCCCAUCGAGUCUGCUCCGCCAUUCCAUUAUGGCUGAUUCUGGAUUCCAUUCAACCCCAUACAUCUGCCCUCUCGCCAUAUCCUUUGAUGCCCUGACCAAUCAGAAAACUAUCAACUUCUGCUUUAAAUAUACCAGUGGACUUGGCCUCCACCGCUUUCUAUGGCAAGAGUAUUCCACAGGUUCACUGCUCUCUCACUAAAAAAAAUUCCUCCUUACAUCUGUUCUAAAAGGUUGCCCCUCAAUUUUUUGGCUGUGCCCUCUAGUUCUGGAUAUCGCCACCAUAGGAAACAUCCUUUCCAAAACUACCUUAUCUACUUUUUUCAACAAUUGAUAGAUUUCAAUGAGAUCUCCCCAUAUUCUUCUUAAUUCCAGUGAGUAUAGGCCCAAAGUUGCCAAACGUGCCUCAUAUGUUAACCCUUCAUUCCUGGAAUCACCCUUGUGAACAUCCUCUGGACUCUGUAAUGACAACACACCUUUCUAAGAUAAGGGUCCCAAAACUGCGAACAGUACUCCCAAGCGCAGCCUGACUAGUGUCUUAUAAAGCCUCAGCAUAAUCUCCUUGCUUUUAUAUUCUAUUCUCCAAUGUUGCAUUUGCAUUCUUUACCACAGACUCGAUCUUUAAAUUAACCUUCUUGGAGUCUUGCAUGUGGACUCCUAAAUCCCUUUGCACCUCUGAUGUUUGAGUUUUCUUCCCAUUUAGAUAACAGUCUGCCCUAUUGUUCCUUUUACCAAAAUGCAUGAUCAUACAUUUCCCAACACUGUAUUCCAUCUGCUACUUUUUUGCCACUUCUUCCAAUUUGUUGAAGUCUUACUGCAAACACAUUGCUUCCUCAGCACUGCCUGCCCCUCCACCUAUCUUCAUAUCAUCCGCAAAUGUUACCAAAUUCCAUUAUCUAACAAAGCCAUCGAUUCCAAUAUCUAAAUCAUUGACAAACAAUGUGAAAAGUAGUGGUCCCGCAAUACUGACCCCUGAGGAACACCACUAGUCACUGGCAGCCAGCCAGAAAAGGCCCCAUUUAUUCCCACUUGCUGCCUCCUAACUGUUGGCCAUUCCUCUAUCCAUGCCAAUAUCUUUCCUGUAAUGCCCCCUAGGCUUUUAUCUUAUUAAUCAGUCUCAUUUGGCACCUUAUCAAAUGCCUUCUGAAAAUCCAAGUAAAUGAAUCUGCCUCUCCUUUGUCCACCCUGCUUGUUACUUCCUUGCAGAACUCUUAACAAAUUUGUCAGGCAAGAUUUCCCUUUACAGAAACCAUGCUGACUUUACCUUAUUUUAUCAUCAGUCUUUAAGUAUCCCAAAACUUCAUCCUUAAUAAUUUAUUCCAACACAUUCCCAACCACUGAUGUUAGGCUAACUGGCCUAUAAUUUCCUUUUUUUUUUGCCUUCCUCCCUUCUUGAAGAGUGGAGUGAUAUUCACAAUUUUAUAGUCCUCCAGGACCAUGCCAGAAUCAAGUGAUUCUUGAAAGAUCAUGACCAAUGCAUCUGUCAUCUCUUCAGCAACCUCUUCCAGGACUCUGGGAUGUAGUCCAUCUGGUCCAGUCAAGAAAAAAGAAAAAUAAUGAAGAGAAAGACAAAACUUCAGAAAAACUGAAGAAGAAGAAAAAGCACAAGAAACGUGGAAAAAAGAAAAAAGUUUUCAGUUCGGAUUUGGAGUCAGCAUGAGAUGAG
Hypanus sabinus (Atlantic stingray) is the source of this 6690-nucleotide RNA transcript. It is a transcript of the gene named family with sequence similarity 133 member B, with no coding region annotated. Lineage: Eukaryota; Metazoa; Chordata; Chondrichthyes; Myliobatiformes; Dasyatidae. The record is from RefSeq and is a predicted model, not a curated record. The transcript has 12 exons.